Molecule: non-coding RNA, 30 nt
Filed under: Rattus norvegicus (Norway rat)
Lineage: Eukaryota; Metazoa; Chordata; Mammalia; Rodentia; Muridae
Source: RNAcentral
GCCAAGUCCAUUUUAUUGCAGUAUAUAUGA